GCACUUCUGACGUGUCCCAAACAGGACGAAACAGCUGUUCAGUGC
This 45-nucleotide non-coding RNA is filed under the name Echinostoma caproni. The record is from RNAcentral. Lineage: Eukaryota; Metazoa; Platyhelminthes; Trematoda; Plagiorchiida; Echinostomatidae.